RNAcentral lists this ribosomal RNA (427 nucleotides) under uncultured bacterium. RNAcentral's name for it is "bacterial SSU rRNA". It matches the Rfam family "Bacterial small subunit ribosomal RNA", at positions 355 to 774 of the family's 1533-position model. The record is from RNAcentral.
UGGGGAAUUUUGGACAAUGGGCGCAAGCCUGAUCCAGCAAUGCCGCGUGCGGGAAGAAGGCCUUCGGGUUGUAAACCGCUUUUGUCAGGGAAGAAACGAGUUUCUCUAAUACAGAGACUUAAUGACGGUACCUGAAGAAUAAGCACCGGCUAACUACGUGCCAGCAGCCGCGGUAAUACGUAGGGUGCGAGCGUUAAUCGGAAUUACUGGGCGCAAAGCGUGCGCAGGCGGUUAUAUAAGACAGAUGUGAAAUCCCCGGGCUCAACCUGGGACCUGCAUUUGUGACUGUAUAGCUAGAGUACGGUAGAGGGGGAUGGAAUUCCGCGUGUAGCAGUGAAAUGCGUAGAUAUGCGGAGGAACACCGAUGGCGAAGGCAAUCCCCUGGACCUGUACUGACGCUCAUGCACGAAAGCGUGGGGAGCAAACA